GGGGGGUCCAAAAAGCAGAAUUUCCCAGUUAGCUGGAUAACUUAAGCAAAACGUGAAAACGGUCCAUUAGGAGGAGAGGUAAGCGACCUUCAUAUGAGACAAUCCUUACAUUUGGUUUAAGAUAUCUGGCUAAUGAAAAAGUACUGCUUUGUGGAAUACACUCCUUUCCAAUUCCCCGCCACUCAUGUUUUGUGUCCAGCUAAAAUUUCAGUUAAAUAGGAAGCAAAAACAGCGCUGGAAAAUCAUGCAACAACAAACUAGCACCAGUCUUCCAUUAAGCAAAUUCAAAAAUCUACCAAUUGCAACUUUUGGUCAAAGCAUAAGUUAGAUUAAACUUUAAAUUAUCAUGUUUGGGCUUUAACGUAUUCAUUGAGGGACAGCAGGGACGUCUGCAGGCAGCAAAACAGGAUGAGAAAUACACAUGGAAAAGAGUUUGGCGUCUGACCCCCUUGUGUUUCCACUGUGUGUAUUUGGGUUCGAUGCUCGUUGGGUGCCUGCUGCAGUCCUGUUCAGGACAAUAAAAAUAGCGUAUUCUUUUGCGGGAAGCAAGUCUCCUCGUUCUUCACUGCUCUCGUGAUUCCUCGGCCUGCCUGGGGUACAUUGGUGUCAGGCGUGAGAUGCUGGAAGCGAUCCUGCUGGCACAGCUGGAGCGGGCGCUGUACAAGAUCAUCUGGCAAGCCUGUUCCACGCCUGGCGAGCCUCGAGACGGCUGAGACGCGGCAGCACGUGAGGAGGACGACUAGGGACACGAAGCUCGUCUGCUGGUGCUGCCAGACAGAUGGGCACCAGGCACACCAUUGCAGCAUUGGCAGACAAGCAGGGGACUCUGGAGCAAGGAAAGCACCCUCCGCUCCAUCCAAGACGCACUGGCACAGCCUGCCCUGAAGCCGUUUCUGCCGGCCCGUCGGACUUGCGUCUAAGACAGCGACAUUGUCAAGCUGGAGACCAUGGAGCAGGAGUGAUGGGAGAUGGAGUGGCUGCGUGUUGAGCUGGCCAGCUGGGACCAGGAGCGUGACUGCAAGGCGUGCUUGGCUGAGGCAACGGAGGCUGCAUUACGGGGUCAUGAGACAGUGAGGCGGAGGACGGGAGGAGGCAUGUCACAGUUAGAAACCCAGCUGGCCGAGAAGCACCACGAGCUGCUGGAGGUGGAGGCACAGCACAUGCAGGAAAUCUGCGAGUGGUGCGAGGAGGAGGCCUGCUUGGCCCACCUCUGAGAGACUAUCCACCUGGAGCACGAGCAGUUGUGUAGGGCCGCCCGACUCUGUGAGCAGGAGCCCCCGUGGCAGGACCUGCCUGCUGCACAAUGUCAGGGCCCCACCCAGUGGAGGAGGAGAAAGAGGGGCCAGGAGGAAGCCGCAAUAGAACGUGACCGCAGCCAGCCCAUGUGCUGGCUAUCCCCGGAGAAGGGGGUGUGGAUGUGGGAGUCGAUGGGUCCCGGCCAGGGAAACCCCUUGGAAGAGGCAUUAGGUCCCCUUAAGAGGAAGGGUUGGCACCGGGGGGGGACCUGCUGUGGCAGCGCUUGCCAGCAGCUGAGCCUCGCCGUUGCCCGCAAGAUCGGGAGGUGACGUCCUUCCCCUUUCUUCAUUGGAGGCUGCCAUUGGACCCCUGGGACUUGGUGGGGACUGGGGGUGGUGGUCACUGGGACAGUUGACCUUUGAGGGGAGGGCAGUGUAGCACCGACGGAGGUCAGCAUAUCCUAGCAUGCCCACAGGCAAUUGUAAAUAGCCCCUGUCUGUAAUUGUAAAUAGCCCAUGUUGUAUUGUUGUUGUUGUUGUUAAUGGUUGCAUUUCCCUAUUGUUGCGCACGUGUUUGCCCAUGUCUUAUGUUUCCGCUGUGUGUAUUUGGGUUUGGUGCUCAUUGGGUGCCUGCUGCAGUCCUGUUCAGGAAAAAGCAUGUUCUGUUCCGGCAA
Paramormyrops kingsleyae is the source of this 1909-nucleotide long non-coding RNA. RefSeq lists it as uncharacterized. The record is from RefSeq and is a predicted model, not a curated record. NCBI's taxonomy places the organism in Eukaryota, Metazoa, Chordata, Actinopteri, Osteoglossiformes, Mormyridae.